GCGGAAGUAGCUCAGUUGGUAGAGCGUCUGCCUUCCAAGCAGGCUGUCGCGAGUUCGAGUCUCGUCUUCCGCU
RNAcentral lists this transfer RNA (73 nucleotides) under Clostridium sp. CAG:813. RNAcentral's name for it is "transfer RNA-Gly(TCC)". It matches the Rfam family "tRNA". Rfam says of the family: Transfer RNA (tRNA) molecules are approximately 80 nucleotides in length. Lineage: Bacteria; Bacillati; Bacillota; Clostridia; Eubacteriales; Clostridiaceae. The record is from RNAcentral. RNAcentral also lists the same sequence under 12 other names.